CAUAGAUGUGGGUGAAACGUCAGGAGAGCAUGCUUCUGGAACAUGGCUAUACAGCCCAGAAAACUCACAGCAACCUCAGUGAUUCCGGCCAUGAAAGCUUUCGGCAACACUCCUGGAGCAGCUUAGAAAAAACAAUAGGCCAGCCUUUGCUCAAAAGCAUCCAAGCUCAAAGGCACAGUCCAAAAAACACGAGAAAAGAGGAGGAAAUUGGGGAGCUGGGACACUAAUUCUUAGGCACACAUCUCUUAUAAGAACCUAUCUCUUGCUGAUUUGCACAAGGGAGUGCUCGUUUGAGAACGACAUAAAGCAGUUGCUGGAAACAUUUUACAAUAGGAGAUUUCAAACAGAGGCUGCAUAAAAUUAUUGAAUAAUUGCACAUAACACAAAGAACAAUGUGUUAAGAAGAUACUGUUGGGGAGUUGCUACCUCCUGACUUAGCAGGUUGGGAUGGAAGUCAAAAAAGCUGGAAGAGUGCAAAUGAAGAUGCAGGUCUGUUCAUUCUGUCGGGGAAUAUUUGUGCAAGAGAGAAUCCAGCAGAGUAGGUGGUCAGGGGCCAUCUAGUAGGGGAACUCAACUGGCUGUUUAUUGAUGCAUAUGUGGUGAGAAAUUAUCCAGAGAUAUAGAAAGGAGAGGAUGCAGUGAAGGAGAGAAGAGAAUUUCAGCCCACCUCCAAAACAGGGAAAUUGUCAGACUCUGAAAGAUCUUGGAGUUAAAAUCAAGCUUACAACAAUAAAAAGCUGGAGACAAGAGGUUUAUUCCUUCUUUUCGCAAUUCUAAAAAGACAGUUCAAUCCUAAAAAGACAGUUGUAAAGGCAUGUCAAUCCUAAAAAGACAGUUCUAAAGACAGGUCAAUCCUAAAAAGACUGUCCUAGAGACAGUUCAAUCCUAAAAAGACAGUUCUAAGGACAGUUCAAUCCUAAAAAGACAGUUCUAAAGACAGUUCAAUCCUAAAAAGACAGUUCUAAAGACAGGUCAAUCCAAAAAAGACAGUUCUAAAGACAGGUCAAUCCAAAAAAGACAGUUCUAAAGACAGGUCAAUCCGAAAAAGAGUUCUAAAGACAGUUCAAUCCGAAAAAGACAGUUCUAAAGACAGUUAAAUCCGAAAAAGACAGUUCUAAAGACAGUUAAAUCCGAAAAAGACAGUUCUAAAGGCAGGUCAAUCCUAAAAAGACAGUUCUAAAGACAGGUCAAUCCUAAAAAGACUGUCCUAGAGACAGUUCAAUCCUAAAAAGACAGUUCUAAAGACAGGUCAAUCCAAAAAAGACAGUUCUAAAGACAGGUCAAUCCUAAAAAGAGUUCUAAAGACAGUUCAAUCCGAAAAAGACAGUUCUAAAGGCAGGUCAAUCCAAAAAAGACAGUUCUAAAGACAGGUCAAUCCUAAAAAGACUGUCCUAGAGACAGUUCAAUCCUAAAAAGACAGUUCUAAAGGCAGGUCAAUCCUAAAAAGACAGUUCUAAAGACAGUUCAAUCCUAAAAAGACAGUUCUAAGGACAGUUCAAUCCUAAAAAGACAGUUCUAAAGACAGGUCAAUCCAAAAAAGACAGUUCUAAAGACAGGUCAAUCCGA
Molecule: non-coding RNA, 1566 nt
Organism: Anolis sagrei ordinatus
Lineage: Eukaryota; Metazoa; Chordata; Lepidosauria; Squamata; Anolidae
Source: RefSeq, a predicted model, not a curated record